GUUUGCGUGACCGAGAUGGCUUAUGGUACCGUCCUGCUAAGACGGAGCACGGUUUUUCGUGCCGAAGGUUCGAAUCCUUCCGCAAACG
Molecule: transfer RNA, 88 nt
Filed under: Butyrivibrio sp.
Lineage: Bacteria; Bacillati; Bacillota; Clostridia; Lachnospirales; Lachnospiraceae
Description: tRNA-Ser
Rfam family: tRNA
About the family: Transfer RNA (tRNA) molecules are approximately 80 nucleotides in length.
Source: RNAcentral